CCAGAGACUGUGGGUUGAGGAGGAAUUGGAAGUUUGUCGGCUUAGACCUGGUGUCAUUCCAUCAGUGUUUAACUUCCCGGCUCAUCAUGGAAAAGUACGUGCCAGAAAGACCACGACCAAGCAGCCUUGAGAUCUUAGGCAGCGUCUCCCUGAGGUCCCUCUCUAUCUCCCCACACAUCCACCAACCACUGGAACACAUCUCCAAAGUUCUGCCGGGCCAGCUCAGCUUCCCCUCAGAAGAAGUUCCACCACCUGCCAGAUGAAGGAGCCUUUUGAGAGGCAGCUGGCAUCGUGAUUGGACAGUACUUUGGUCUGUUCCAAUCCAGCUUCAGUUCCAGAGACGGCAGGCGGGACGAGUCAACGGAGGCCUGGUGGACGAAGGCAUGCAGCUGAGUACAAUCCAGAAAACAACAGAGGAGGAGUGCAGCGACCAGAACACACAGAGUAGCAUCGUAUGUCUCUUAGAAAACAUCAUAGUAUAGCCUUUGGUAUGAAAAAACGCCAUCAUAUACAUCGUAUAUUGUACAAAUAACAGGUCAAAGGAAAGAGACAUCAACUGUAGAAUUGUAGUAAUUGUGGGCUGACUGAUUUACUGAUUAUCAGUAUUUUAUUUUUUACUGAUUUACGGUAAUAAAUACAUUUAAAAAUGG
This is a long non-coding RNA of Amphiprion ocellaris (clown anemonefish), 650 nucleotides long. RefSeq lists it as uncharacterized. NCBI's taxonomy places the organism in Eukaryota, Metazoa, Chordata, Actinopteri, Pomacentridae. The record is from RefSeq and is a predicted model, not a curated record. The transcript is spliced from 2 exons.